Molecule: ribosomal RNA, 376 nt
Filed under: uncultured organism
Description: partial 16S ribosomal RNA
Rfam family: Bacterial small subunit ribosomal RNA
Source: RNAcentral
GUAGGUGGCAAGCGUUGUCCGGAAUUAUUGGGCGUAAAGCGCGCGCAGGCGGUUCUUUAAGUCUGAUGUGAAAGCCCACGGCUCAACCGUGGAGGGUCAUUGGAAACUGGAGAACUUGAGUACAGAAGAGGAAAGCGGAAUUCCACGUGUAGCGGUGAAAUGCGUAGAGAUGUGGAGGAACACCAGUGGCGAAGGCGGCUUUCUGGUCUGUAACUGACGCUGAGGCGCGAAAGCGUGGGGAGCAAACGAGGGAUUAGAUACCCUGGUAGUCCACGCCGUAAACGAUGAGUGCUAAGUGUUAGGGGGGGUUUCCGCCCCCGUUAGUGCUGCAGCUAACGCAUUAAGCACUCCGCCUGGGGAUACGGCCGCAAGGCUG